CAAGCACAGUAGCACCAGGUAGCACAUACAUGUCAUUACAUUACAAGUCGAAACUUUCAAAAGUUCCUUCAAAACAAAUUAAAACGUUAAAAAACGGAGAUCGGUGGUUUCAGGUGAAGUUUUCACGUACCUGGCCAACUAGGUGCUCGUGACAAUAGAAAUCAAAUUGCCUAAAAUCCAAUAAUAUCCAAGUUCGCAAGAUAUGUCUUCUGAAGCUAAACAAUUUAUGUUGCAAGAUUUUGUAAAUCUUCAAGAUAUUGAUAUCUUCGCCAGAUCCAAUUCUUUGAUGCUAUCUAUUUUGCGGCACAGCAAGAAAAUGCUGCCACUUAAGAUUUUGUGGUAAUCACCACUUAGUUCUAAUUUAGGAGGACAAUGUAAGAUUGAUAGAUUCGAGGUUAAUCUGUCUCCUCUGUUUGGGAAACCGACAAGAGAUUGCUGGAAUUGAAGACUGAUAAUUUGUGAAAGUGUAGACAAAUUAAAAGUGUAUAUCUGGGCUUCCUUCUUUUCUGUGGCCCCGUUUCCCUUCUACUAACCACUAACCAACGCCCGCCGGUGGCCACUCACCCGCUGUGAUAACCAGAAGGAUGAGGAGGGCUCUGGUCAAACGGGGACUUAUAGAAGGCUGAUGAUCUGAGAAAAACUUUUGGAGGGUCAUGAGUCUAAACGGGAAUCGUGCUAUGACUAAUCGCUCCCUAGCAAAACUGGCCUCGUACUCUUCUCUCUUCUUCACCGGCCAGGUUUAUCGUUUAUGUUCCUGUAAUUGCUGUCCGAUGUACCGCGUUGUUGCAGCCUAUGCUGGUGAAAGCUCUUAUUGCAUGAAGUUAAACUGGCUGUUCCUUGGUCCUGCUGUCAUGUUAUGGAAGUUGCAUC
Molecule: long non-coding RNA, 870 nt
Organism: Daphnia pulicaria
Lineage: Eukaryota; Metazoa; Arthropoda; Branchiopoda; Diplostraca; Daphniidae
Exons: 5
Source: RefSeq, a predicted model, not a curated record